GAUGAACGCUGGCGGCGUGCCUAAUACAUGCAAGUCGAGCGAACAGACGAGGAGCUUGCUCCUCUGACGUUAGCGGCGGACGGGUGAGUAACACGUGGAUAACCUACCUAUAAGACUGGGAUAACUUCGGGAAACCGGAGCUAAUACCGGAUAAUAUAUUGAACCGCAUGGUUCAAUAGUGAAAGACGGUUUUGCUGUCACCUAUAGAUGGAUCCGCGCCGCAUUAGCUAGUUGGUAAGGUAACGGCUUACCAAGGCAACGAUGCGUAGCCGACCUGAGAGGGUGAUCGGCCACACUGGAACUGAGACACGGUCCAGACUCCUACGGGAGGCAGCAGUAGGGAAUCUUCCGCAAUGGGCGAAAGCCUGACGGAGCAACGCCGCGUGAGUGAUGAAGGUCUUCGGAUCGUAAAACUCUGUUAUUAGGGAAGAACAAAUGUGUAAGUAACUAUGCACGUCUUGACGGUACCUAAUCAGAAAGCCACGGCUAACUAC
RNAcentral lists this ribosomal RNA (494 nucleotides) under uncultured bacterium. Its description in RNAcentral is "partial 16S ribosomal RNA". It matches the Rfam family "Bacterial small subunit ribosomal RNA", at positions 28 to 504 of the family's 1533-position model. The record is from RNAcentral.